RNAcentral lists this long non-coding RNA (979 nucleotides) under Monodelphis domestica (gray short-tailed opossum). RNAcentral's name for it is "lncRNA (ENSMODG00000035569.2)". Lineage: Eukaryota; Metazoa; Chordata; Mammalia; Didelphimorphia; Didelphidae. The record is from RNAcentral.
CCCAGCAUGUGAAGACUGUUUCAGCGAAACAGGCAGAAGAAACCAACAAGAAGGUUCAACGGCCGAGAUGGCGAUACAGCAAGGCACUGUGGAGUGCUUAGGGCGUGUUGGAGUACAAAGGACAACACGGCCAUCCAAUGCAGCUGAGGAAGUCUCCAGGUGUAAUGACGUUUCGUGCCAAUGGACCCAGGUUUCCAACGCCGAGAGAGUGGGACUGUCACUGUGCUUCGACUUUUCCACUUAAAUGUUCAUUCAAAGGUGUCUUUGUGCACAAAAACGCACAAAGACAAUCGUCAUCCUCGGUUCGAGAGACAACCAACAUAGUAUGGCAACUUCCUGUAGUCUUGGCUGCAAAUGGGUAAGUGAAAUAUUACUACAUUUUAUCCUACAGACUUUGGGGAUAGAAAUUGCUUUGAUUGGAACCUAAUACAAGGGCCUGUUAGAAAUUUAUUAAAUUGAACCCAAAAUACAAGGGCACAUUAUAAACUUUUUCUUGUUUACUCAAAAUUUUAUGUACAUAGAUUUUUUGAUAUUUUGAAUUUUUUACUUCCUCCCCAAAAGUUUACUUUUUCUUCCAUUUGUUUUUCUUUUAUACUUUUGUUUUUUUUUUCUUUUGAUAAUUGAUUCAUAUACCUUAUAACUCAGUCAUGCAUCCCUAAGUGACUCUUGUAUUUUUUAACACCCUCUUCAGGGGGGAAUGUAUUGUUCUUCUAAAAUGCAAAGUUCAAAUUCUUUUUGAGAGUAAUUUUGGGAUAAGAAAUGUGCUACCUCUCCAAUUCCAGAAAGUGAAAUGUUUGGAGAAGGCACCAUGAAUAUGCCUCCAGAGAGCACAUGCUUCACCAGAAGAUCCAGAGUGAACUUUGGGAUGUGGUGAUUUGAAUUGGGUAGAGGUUGAAUGUAUUUGUUUUGUAUGUAUACUCUUAUGCUGAAGGGGACUGCUCCCUAACUAGUUUUUUGUCAAUGUGUCUAGCAAUCACUC